Molecule: long non-coding RNA, 722 nt
Filed under: Rattus norvegicus (Norway rat)
Lineage: Eukaryota; Metazoa; Chordata; Mammalia; Rodentia; Muridae
Description: long non-coding RNA NONRATT020474
Source: RNAcentral
AAUAACUUAGUAGAAGUUUCAGACUGAGGUGUUUGUGUUCAAAUAACUAAGUAAUGAUGGGCUCAAAGCACUAAGAAGUGGUGCUGGCAAUUGGAUAUGCCAGAGAAACAUCCAUAAAGUUCUUUGUCUUAAAGCUGAAGUACAAGCCAGGCAAUGUAGCACACGCUUUAAUUCCAGCUCUGGGAGGCAGAGGCAGGUGGGUCUCGUAGUCUGCAGAGUGAGCUUCUGGACAGCCAGAGCUGCACAGAGAAACCCUGUCUCAAAAACCAAACCACAGCAAAAAGUUGAAACACAUAGAUAUUUUGAGAUAAUAGAGCUCAAACUCAUGCUCCAGUGUUGUUUUACUUUGCUUUUGCUAACCUCUCUUACCAGGCCUUGUUUGUAAAUUAAAGCUUUUCAUAACAUGAAUGGAAGAAAACCCUCACUUUCAGGAAUCUAUUAUGGGACUUGGAGUGCAUGCCCUGGAAAUGGGGAGGAGUACAUAGUUCAGACAAGUCACAUUAUUCAUCCCUACUGAAAUACUCUAUAUAAUUCUUUCAAGUGUGUGUUUAUGGGAAAGUUUAAAUAAUAAUAGAGCUAAAAACCAAAUUGUGUAAUUUAAGUGUCAUAUGAACUUCCUGAAUAUAUUUAUAUAUUUGGUUUCACUUUUCUCAAAAAGUUGCCCUGUUUUUUUUGUUUUGUUUUGUUUUGUUGCAGGAAGAUGAGAAUGUGCCCAUUCCUCC